GAGAGAUUUGGUCCCUUCUCUCCUGUGAGUGAACUACCGCUGCUGGGCGGGGGAGGCAAAAGGCUUGGCGGCCGAGGGCGUGGCCCCUGGGCAAGGACGAGGUGUGGUCACGAUCCCUGUAGCCUGUGGCUUAAACAGCCCCGUCCUAGGACCGGAGUGAUUCAGUCUCAGAAUUGUUCUUUAAUCUUUAAUAUCUCCAUUAAGAAGAGUUUCUGUCAAGUGCUUCAAAAGAACACAAUGUGAAGGAGCAAUACUGAUCCACUGCUGAGACCUCAGAAGCUACCAGAUUAUUGUUAAAAAAUAAACAUGUUUGAAGACGACAGACUGUUACCCAGAGGGGAGGUCCUGAGUCAUCCAAAGUUUCUCCAGCUGGCAAAGAAGUAUGAAAAAACUCCUGCUCAGAUUUGCACCUGCUGGAGCAUCCGAGCAAGCCAGGGAAACAUCCAUGACACCUAAAGAAGAGACGAAAUGCUUGUGUAUUUCAGAAUGGGGUCAUUGCCAACAUCCACAAAAUGUAAAAGAGUAAAGGAAAAUUUUCAGGGGUUAACAGACAAAGCUGGACAGUUCUAAGUUGGAGUCCCUCAAAUGGUUGCAGUCAGUUGACAGCUGAGGCUGGAGUCUUCUGAAAGUUCCUUUACUCACAUGUCUCCCUCCUGGGCUGGGAUGUCUGGAAUUCUGGGGACAGGUGGGGCGUUCCUCUCUCUUCUCUCCAGGUGGCCGCUCUACAAGUCUGGCUUGGGCUUCACACAGCAUGACAGCUUAAGGUGCAAGCAUUCCUGGAGACAAGCAGAGGGCUCCAGGCUAGGGAUCUAGUGCUGGAAGUCAUGCACAUCACUUUCACUAUAUUCUAUUAGACACAGCUGUCACAAACCAGACCGAAUUCAGGAGAGUAGAUACAGAGAAGCAAGAUUUGACGAUAGUGACCCUGGAAAGAAGCUACAACAAUUUAUUUGGGGGAUAUUUAGAAAUAAACACAAAUUUAUAGAGAUAUAAAUAUAUCCCUAUUAAAAAAAUAAGAAUAAUUAUAAUGCAUGUUCAACCAUAAAAUAAUAUACAAAGAUAACACCUUAAUAAUUAAGGCAGGAAAUAAGAUUAACUCCUAGGGGUCUAAUCAAUGACAGAGUUUUUUUAGCACUUUCUCAAGACAUUGAGGACCUCAUGCCUGCACUGACCUUUUAGAUGCUUAAUCAAGCAAAUCAUCCCAAACUAUCUGGCUGCCCCAUAAUUAAGCCAGAACAUCUCUGAACUUCUCACUUAGUUCAAGAACUAAGUUCCAGAAUAUUUUUGGCCAAAAUAUCCUCUAUCUUAUAUACUCAAGACUGCCUCUGUUUCUCUUUCUCCUUUGGUCCUUAAGGUCCACUGCUCCUAACACUUCCAGAAUCACGCUGGCAGAUCUACUACACAGUUCUGAUUUUGUAGUUAAUUAUCAUUUCAACAAGCUUGAAACUUUUUACUACUAAAUGGCCAGGAAAUAUCUUGUUUCCUUUUAUUCCCUUCAAUUAUUUAUUUUUCUUGUAGUUUUCUCCUUUUAUUCCAUUUUGGUAAGACUUCCUAUGUCUUUUAUAAUGUACUCUGCUUCUUUGAAAUGAAAUGUUUAAAGAAGGUUAACAUACAAGUUGUUACUUUAAUUUGAUAAAACAUAUAAUCUCUACCUGAUAAAAAAUAUUUUGAAUGCCUCAGAAACUGCUUUUGCUGUACACACAGGCAGAAUGGAGUGAUAUUUUAAGAUUUCCUGCAACUAGAAAGGUAUGGAAAGUUUGACUGAUUUAUAUUGUGUUCUGACUUCCUGAGGUAGUUUUCCUAAUGCUAUUCCAUUUUACUCAUACUAUGAAACAAAGCUUGUUUUCUUUUUAAAUAAAAAUUCAGUCUAGGACAGUGUGUUUCAGAUUUGUUCUUUAUCUCUUAAGCUUAAUUUCUAUGGAAUUUUAUAGUACUAGCCAUUUUAUUUACAUACAUAUUAUUAACAUACAAGUUGUUACUUUAAUUUGAUAAAACAUAUAAUCUCUACCUGAUAAAAAAUAUUUUGAAUGCCUUGAUGGGGGGAUGAUUCUGGAAGCAUUUGAGAAAAAGUAUUCCCAGUUUAAUUUCCAAAAUUACUUUAAAAAAUAAAAACUUGACUAUUUAA
This is a non-coding RNA of Manis javanica (Malayan pangolin), 2125 nucleotides long. The record is from RefSeq and is a predicted model, not a curated record. NCBI's taxonomy places the organism in Eukaryota, Metazoa, Chordata, Mammalia, Pholidota, Manidae.